This 507-nucleotide ribosomal RNA is filed under the name Conus samiae. RNAcentral's name for it is "partial 16S ribosomal RNA". It matches the Rfam family "Bacterial large subunit ribosomal RNA", at positions 1830 to 2598 of the family's 2925-position model. Lineage: Eukaryota; Metazoa; Mollusca; Gastropoda; Neogastropoda; Conidae. The record is from RNAcentral.
AUGUCAACACUAAAAUAUGAAGUCGGACCUGCCCAGUGAGUUUUAAACGGCCGCGGUACUCUGACCGUGCAAAGGUAGCAUAAUCAUUUGCCUUAUAAUUGAAGGCUGGAAUGAAUGGUUUGACAAGAAUACAGCUGUCUCUUCUAGAUUAUUUAGAAUUUUAUUUUUGGAUGAAAAAGUCCAGAUAUUAUUAAAAGACAAGAAGACCCUAUCGAGCUUUAGAAGAAUUAAUAGACUUAAGAAUAAAUCAAUAUAAGUAAAAGAUAGACUAUUAUAAUACUUUGGUUGGGGCAACCGAGGAGUAAAUAGAGCCUCCUUUAAGCUAUAAAACCUGCUUGUCUUGAUCCAAGGAUUUUGAUCAAAGGAAUUAGUUACCGUAGGGAUAACAGCAUUAUCUUUUUUAAGAGCCCAUAUCGAAAAAAAGGUUUGUGACCUCGAUGUUGGACCAGAAUAUCCUAAAGAUGCAGAAGUCUUUAAGGGUUGGUCUGUUCGACCAUUAAAAUUCUA